GCGGAUGUGGCCAAGUGGAUCAAGGCAUUGGAUUGUGAAUCCAUCUUAUGCGGGUUCAAUUCCCGCCAUUCGCC
RNAcentral lists this transfer RNA (74 nucleotides) under Aphyllon fasciculatum. Its description in RNAcentral is "tRNA-His". It matches the Rfam family "tRNA". From Rfam's summary of the family: Transfer RNA (tRNA) molecules are approximately 80 nucleotides in length. The record is from RNAcentral. Lineage: Eukaryota; Viridiplantae; Streptophyta; Magnoliopsida; Lamiales; Orobanchaceae.